RNAcentral lists this long non-coding RNA (5144 nucleotides) under Homo sapiens (human). Its description in RNAcentral is "HSALNT0030436". The record is from RNAcentral. Lineage: Eukaryota; Metazoa; Chordata; Mammalia; Primates; Hominidae.
UCCGUUAGCCUUUUCUCCAUCUCCUCUAAUUCUGGUAGCAUCUUUGGACCCCUAACACUUGGCAUCUGCUACUUCAGACAAACAAACCCUAUGUAAAUGACAAAGAAGGGGCCUCCCAACCUUCUCCCUGUGUUACUAUUUCAGAAGCACUACUCGGGGCACAGUGGUACAAAUUUCUUAUGGCCACUAGCAUCUUUUUUCAAUUUUCAAAGUAAUCAUCAAACAUCUGGGUCAAUUAUACUUAAAUUACAGAAGCACGGAAUUUUAGGCAACAGGCCCCUCAUUUUACCUCAGAGAUUAAGUGACUUGCUCAACAUCACACAGCCUAGUAAAUGGAAGUCUUGCAACCAAACUUGAGCCCCAUUCCUCAGUGAGUAAUCCUGAGUGUGUGUACGACAAGAUAAAUACAAAUAAUCGUGUUGUGUUCUUUACCGAAGAGAAAAUGAGGAUCAGCACUCUAAAAUAUCAUUUAGCUCUAUAGGGUUCCAGGCUAUUCUGGUCCUGUUUUAAGUGAAUAGGAAUUUGUACAUUACAUAAACAAAGCCAAAUUUUCAAAUAAGGAAUUAAGACAAAUGCAGCAGCAUAGGAGAUGUUUGUGCUAAAAAAAAAAAAAAAAAGACUGUGCCUCUUUUUAUCUCAGAAAUACUUCAUAUACAUUUUCUUAACUUGAAAAGGAAAGCUAAAUUUGAUUAAGCACAUGUCUGCAUAUCACAUGAGCCUUCUACUACUAUAGAAGAGACUGGAAACCAAAAGAAAUGCCACAUAUUUCAUGGUGUGAAUCAGUUUCUUUCCAAAUGACACUUCCUUUGAAAAGGCAUAAAUUUGGAAUUUGACUUUUGGAUAAUGCUGUUUUUCAAUUUUCAAAUAUAAUUGUGAUGUAAUUGAUCUAAUCUGCAUUUCAAAGCUGCUAAAGCUGAGUUUACCACCAAAACUAAGCACAAGAUCUCCUUUUAUGGACCAAAAUAAAGAGCAGUGUACUGAAAUAUUAGAUAAGCUUUUGUUCUUUUCUUCAAAUAUUUGCAUGAAUUAUUCAGGCUUUAUAUGGAUAGAGCUUUGAAAUAUUCAAAUUCCUUGAGCUAUUUCCUUAUGUAAGAUUCAUAUUUAUUAAAUCCUGUAGCAUGUACUUUUCCUGUGAAAGUACAGAUUCAGUUCCAUUAUGAUUUCUUCAGCAGAGAUCCUACACACAGCAGAGAGUCUCAGGUGGUGGAGGAGAUACAAAGAUAUGCAAAACAAUCUUCAAGGAUCUUACACAUAAGGGGGAAUACAAAGCCAUAAAAUACUUGCAAACCACAAGUUAUAGAGUUUCCAAAGAGAAAGAGAUAUCUUCCAGCCAAGGUCUAAAGGAAAACCUUCAGAGAGAAGCUGGCAUUUCAGAUGGGCCCUGAAGAACUAAAAUGAAUUUCACAAGUAGGGGAACAGUAAAAUGAGGGGGCUGAGAUCUCAACUUCGCCCAUGCUCCUGUUUCCAUCUUUGAAAUCUCUUUUAGAUAUGACAACCCAUGCAGUCAACUUCCCAGCUAUGUUGCCAGCCCCUUAAUUCUGCCUCUCUUCCUGGUAAACACAUUCUGACUAUCCCAGGAACCCCCUUUCUGAGGGCUACCCUUCUACUCCUUCCCCACAAAGAUGCCCCCUUCAGCUCUUCUGGGUGUCACAAACAACACUAAUGAAGCAAGAAAGAGUAGUAGUGACAGUCUCAUCAGAAUCCUCAACCCAUACCCCUGCUUCCUCCCCAUUGAGUCCUGCGUGGUGAAAGAUGCCAUCCAAAGUUAGAAACCUGGCGACGAACGUGGCCAUGCGAUCUCAACUCUCACUUAACAAUACUUCUGUGACUCCUCAAAUUAUAUUUCUCAACUGGGCACUCACUAUCAUAAGAACAGCACCAACACGAUAGUGCUAAACCAUUCAUGAGAAAUACGUCCCCAUGAUCUUGUCACUUCCUGCCAGGCUCCACCGCCAACACUGGGGAUUACAAUUCGACAUGAGAUUUGGUGGGGACACAGUUCCAAACCAUACCACCCCUCUAUCUGGAAUACAACUCCAUCCUUCCCUGGGUUGUCCUGAGAGUCCCUACUCAUCCUUUAGGUUUCAGCUCAAUUAAAUUCUUUUCUUUUGAACAGUUUCUUGCUCUUCUAAAGUAAAUCCAUUACCCAGAACACAUAAACACAAAGUCUUUAAACUUUGCUCAUUCAUCAGAGAAUUCUUCCUCCUUGGUGUCAGAGAGAGGGCAGCAAAGAAAGCUGUGAAUAUUUAUAAGGUAAGUUUUGUUAUUGGGGCAGGGGAUGUGGGAAGAAUCCAUAUCACAAAUUUUGAACACAAAUGAGUCCAAAUAUUGCCACAUUUAACUGUCCUGCUUCUCUGGAAGAAUACCAAAAUGGUCCAAAAGAAGAAAUAACAAGGGACCAUAGCAGGUGUGUGAGCCGUGCAAUGGCAAAAAGAGGAAAUGACAGGAAAGAGGAUGGAUAGGAUGUAUAAUUAACUGACUCUGGAGAAAAUAUGAGGAAUCAAGGAAGGGUAUGAUUCUGAGCCUUAGAAACUAAGGGAAAGAUGAUAUCUAUAACAGGCUGGGCAUGGUGGCUCACUUCUGUAAUCACAGCACUUUGGGAGGCUGAGGUGGGAGGAUCACUUGAGGUCAGGAGUUUGAGACCAGCCUGGCCAACAUGGUGAAACCCCAUCUCCACAAAAAAUACAAAAAUUACUCUGGUGUGGUGGUGCAUGCCUGUAAUCCCAGCUACUCAGGAGGCUGAAGCAGGAGAAUCACUUGAACACAGGAGGUGAAGGUUGCAGUGAGCCGAGAUCACACCACUAUACUCCAGCCUGGGCAACGGAGCAAGACUCCAUCUAAGAAUAAUGAUAUCUGUAAUGGCAUUUGGGAGGAUUAAAGGGGAGGAAAUUUGAUGGAACAGCAGGGCAUCAAGUGGAACGUGUCACAAGCAGAUCUGUAGCUUAGAACUCAGGGGAGGGGGAAGCCCUGGUGAACAGAUAGGGACUUAGCAAUGACCAAAGAUGAGAAUAAGCAAAAUUAGCUGAAAUAGAGGGUAAAACCAGAGCACCAAGGACUUGGCCUUGUGGGACAUCCACAGUUACAAAAGGGGAAGAAAAAGUGAAAGCAGUUUAAAAACUGGAAGCAUCAGAAGAGGUAGUGAUCCGGGACAGCAGAGCAUCCUAACAGCCAACAGGAGAGAGGUAAAAGGAAGAGCAGUCAACACUGCUGGAUGCUGCAGAGGAGUGAAGGAAAAUGGGGGCUGAAGGAAAAACGGUUUCAUUCAGUGACUCGGAAACAACAGCAGUGACUUCAGAGAGGGCAAUUGCCAAGAGAAAGGUGAGAGAGGAAGCUAGAUUACGAACUGCAGAGAAGCAAAUGCUAGUUGAUUUCUAGUCAAGAUGGGGCUUUGAGGACCACGCCAAUCCAAAAUGAUAGUGAUAAUAGAUUUAAUAUAAAAUGGGAAAAAUGUAAGGCAUUUUCACACUUAAAAACAUCUCCAUAGCCCAGAAAUGGAACAGAAACAAUAUGGUAAGUAGCCUGAAGAUGUAGACCAGCUCAAUUCUGCCAACAGCAAACAGAGGCAUCCAGGGGCAAGACUCAUACAGGGUACUAAGAACUAAAUAACCCAUGUGAGGCAGAAGACUCACAUGAAAUCAAGGGCUGGGAUAAGGCUACCCCCUUGAAAGGAAUUGCCUAGGGCUACAGGCUUGUAAACAUCUGUAUACCUAGGGACAUGGAAGAACCAGGCAUAGUCUUAAAGACGGAAUUUGACCCUAGAGAAGGAACUGGAUCUACAAUACUAUAGGAUAAAACCGAGGUCUAGGCCUGGGAGGCCCAGAAAGUAGGUAACGGCAAAACUAUGAGACCAGGAAGGUUAAGCCUAGGGGGACAGGAAGGAAGGAAUGAAGGAAGAGAAGAAGGAACAGAGAAAAGGAGAGAGGGAGAGAAAUAAGAAAGACUGCCAAAAAUAGAAACCACAACAUGGAGAAGCAUUCACACCAGGUAAAAACAAAAUACUAGAGUAUCUGAAAAUUACUUCUUUAAAAAGAAUUUGUUCAAGACUUUCAAAGGAAUUAAGCAGAGGAAUAACAUUCAUAAAAAUUAUGAAGCACGAACCGUCAGAAAUAAAAUAGCUAUGAUUAUGAAGAAUAACAAAUUAAAAUCCUGAGAAUUAAAAAUACAGUCAUAGAAAAGUUUUUUUUUGUUUUGAGACAGAGUUUCACUCUUGGUGCCCAGGCUGGAGUGCAAUGGCAUGAUCUUGGCUCACCGCAACCUCCGCCUCAUGGAUUCAAGAGAUUCUCCUGCCUCAGCCUCCCUAGUAGCCGGGAUUACAGGCGCCUGCCACCAUGGCCAGCUAAUUUUUUGUAUUUUUAGUAGACACAGGGUUUCACUAUGUUGGCCAGGCUGGUUUGGAACUCCUGACCUCAGGUGAUCCACUCUCCUCAGCCUCCCAAAGUGCUAGGAUUACAGGUGUGAGCUACCAUGUCCAGCUCAGUCAUAGAAAUUUUUAAAAGAAAGAAAGAACAAUGAAUAGGAUAAACUCUGAAAUGAACACACUUAGAAAAUUGGGAAAUAGUACAAUAUUGCUAAACUGACCCAUGACAAAAUAUUGCACCCGCAGAGUUAAGAGACAUAUACGGUAGGCAGGGAGACCUCAACAUACCACUGCUAAGAGUUUCUGAUGAAGAGCAGUUUGGUGAUUAAUACAUUCAUUUAUUCUUUUUUUUUUUUUUCAGAUGGAGUCUCGCUGUGUUGCCCAGGCUGGGGUGCAAUGGCGCAAUCUUGGCUCACUGCAACCUCCACUUCUUGGGUGCAAGUGAUUCUCCUGCCUCAGCUUCCUGAGUAGCUGGGAUUAUAGACGCGCACCACCAUGCCCAGCUAAUUUUUGUAUUUUUAGUAGAGAUGGAGUUUCACCAGCUUUGGCCAAGCUGGUCUCAAACACCUGACCUUGUGAUCCACCCAUCUUGGCCUCCCAAAGUGCUGGGAUUACAGGCAUGAGCCACCACGCCUGGCCCAUUUAUUUAAUUCUUAGAAUGAAAAAAAAUAUAUUGGCAACAAGUAUCCAACUGAAGAAGCUGAAAAGAAUGUUAGUGAAAAUCCAAAUAAAGAGGAAGAAACUAACAUGCAGGCACAGAGAUUAAUAAAACACACACACAGAUACA